AGUGAACGCUGGCGGUAGGCCUAACACAUGCAAGUCGAACGGCAGCACAGUAAGAGCUUGCUCUUACGGGUGGCGAGUGGCGGACGGGUGAGGAAUACAUCGGAAUCUACUUUUUCGUGGGGGAUAACGUAGGGAAACUUACGCUAAUACCGCAUAUGACCUACGGGUGAAAGCAGGGGAUCUUCGGACCUUGCGCGAUUGAAUGAGCCGAUGUCGGAUUAGCUAGUUGGCGGGGUAAAGGCCCACCAAGGCGACGAUCCGUAGCUGGUCUGAGAGGAUGAUCAGCCACACUGGAACUGAGACACGGUCCAGACUCCUACGGGAGGCAGCAGUGGGGAAUAUUGGACAAUGGGCGCAAGCCUGAUCCAGCCAUACCGCGUGGGUGAAGAAGGCCUUCGGGUUGUAAAGCCCUUUUGUUGGGAGAGAAAAGCAGCAGGUUAAUACCCCGCUGUUCUGACGGUACCCAAAGAAUAAGCACCGGCUAACUUCGUG
Molecule: ribosomal RNA, 492 nt
Filed under: uncultured bacterium
Lineage: Bacteria
Description: partial 16S ribosomal RNA
Rfam family: Bacterial small subunit ribosomal RNA
Source: RNAcentral